CUGGGUGUAGCGCAGCUUGGUAGCGUGCUUGAAUGGGGUUCAAGAGGCCGGAGGUUCGAAUCCUCUCACCCAGACCA
RNAcentral lists this transfer RNA (77 nucleotides) under Clostridiales bacterium. RNAcentral describes it as "tRNA-Pro". It matches the Rfam family "tRNA". Rfam says of the family: Transfer RNA (tRNA) molecules are approximately 80 nucleotides in length. Their secondary structure includes four short double-helical elements and three loops (D, anti-codon, and T loops). Further hydrogen bonds mediate the characteristic L-shaped molecular structure. tRNAs have two regions of fundamental functional importance: the anti-codon, which is responsible for specific mRNA codon recognition, and the 3' end, to which the tRNAs corresponding amino acid is attached (by aminoacyl-tRNA synthetases). tRNAs cope with the degeneracy of the genetic code in two manners: having more than one tRNA (with a specific anti-codon) for a particular amino acid; and 'wobble' base-pairing, i.e. permitting non-standard base-pairing at the 3rd anti-codon position. The record is from RNAcentral. Lineage: Bacteria; Bacillati; Bacillota; Clostridia; Eubacteriales.